Long non-coding RNA from Numida meleagris (helmeted guineafowl), 1894 nucleotides. RefSeq lists it as uncharacterized. The transcript has 3 exons. The record is from RefSeq and is a predicted model, not a curated record. Lineage: Eukaryota; Metazoa; Chordata; Aves; Galliformes; Numididae.
AGUAACUUAGGCAGAUACUACCAUUAUUCCUCUUUUUUUUUUCUUUUCUUUCUUUCUUUUUUUUUUUUUUUUGCAGAAGGAAGAAAAAAGUGGCAGUGACAAAUUUGAGCUGCGCUCAUGAGCAGGAAAGUCUACACCACAGAUAUGCUGUGCAGAAAAUGUGCAAACAGAAAUAUAGCCCUGGAUUUGAGAACCUCGAGCAGGCAUCUCAUCUUCGUACUUCAAGUCACUGUAGAGUGCUACCUGUGAUUCGUGUUUGCAAAAGAGAAGCUGCAGAAGAGGCACACAGUGCAAGUUUACAGCGUCUACAUGGGAUCAAGUGACGCGGAGGUGUCUUUAUUUCCAUAUAUAGUAUUGAUGAGUGCAACCCUGGCAUAUAGCAUUCAGCUUUGUAACCACAUCCUAAAUCAGACAGGAUACAAGAAGAACCUCAGAAUGAAUAUCAGGGUUGGAAGGAAGACUUUAAAGAAAGAAGAUGCAUUUGGUCAGCUCCGUUCAGCUGUUCACCAAAAGAAGACUGAGAAGUGACUUGUUUAUAGCACCCACAUACUUUAAUGUUUUCUCCUGGAGAAGCUGGCAGCCUGUGGCUUGGACAGGUACACUCUUUGCUGUGUAAGGAGCUGGCUGGAGGGCCGGGCCCAGAGAGUGGUGACUGGAAACGAGCGGUGCUUCCCAGAGAUUACAGCGAGUUAGGAAGAAGUGUCGAUCUGCCUGGAGGUAGGAAGGCUCUUCAGACGGGAUCUGGACAGGCUGGAUCGCUGGACUGAGGGCAAUGGGAUGAAACUCAACGAGACCAAAUGCUGGGUCCUGCACUUUGGCCAGAACAACCCCAGACAAUGCUACAGGCUUAGGGCAGAGUGGCUGGAAGACUGUGGAAGAAAUGGACCUGGAGAUGUUGGUUGACACUUGGCUGAAUAAGAGCCAGCAGUGUGCCCAGGUAGCCAAGAAGGCCAAUGGCAUCCUGGCUUGUGUCAGAAAUAGUGCUGCCAGCAGGAGACAGGAGGCGAUCAUCCCCCUGUACUCAGCUCUGGUGAAGCCACGUCUUGAGUACUGUGCUCAGUUUUGGGACCCUCACUACAAGAAAGACAUUGAGGCCCUGGAGCGUGUCAAGGGAGGGGCAAUGAAAAUGGUGAAGGGUCUGGAGCACAAGUCUUAUGAGGAGUGGCUGAGGGUACUGGGAUUAUAUAGUUUGCAGAAGAGGAGGCUCGGAAGACUUUAUAGCUCUCUACAACUACCCGUGGUUGUGGCAAUGUGGUGGUUGGCCUCUCCUCCCACAUAACCAGCGAUAGAACUAGAGGGAAUGGCCUCAAGUCGUGCCACAGGGGAAGUUCAGGUUGGAUAUUAUGAAAAAUUUAUUCUCCAAAGGAGUGGUCAGGCACUGGAACAGGCUUCCCAGCAAGGUGGUUGAGUCACCAUCUCUGAAGGUGAUGUUAUUUGCUGGUUAAAAAGAAAACAACCAAAAUAAUCCAACCUUUUGUGUCUUUUUAAAAUCCUUCAAAACUGAUUCUCCCUAAGAAAUCAGGACUGAUUAUUGUGCAUUCAAUCUCUCUGCACAGUUCAUUUUUUGUCUCUACAUAGCAUAUCCUCCCUUUGACUGUCUCUUUUCCAAACUCAGAGGUCCCACUUUAUUAAAUUUCUGUUCCUGUGAAAGUCAUUAAUUGUGUCUCUGACCAUCCCUGGCUCCUGCUGUGCACCUUUUCUAGUUCUAUUAGAUCCUUUCUGAGAGGAUGCGAUCAGAGGUACAAAUAAUGAAAAUGCAGAAAUUUGUGGUAAAAAAUACCAUAUAAAUAUUUUAAGAAGUUUCAGUGAGUUAAGAGUCAGAAUUAAAUGAUAACCUAUGUGCCUAUACCAUAGAUUUGAACCGUUGCUUGUCCCAAAGCACAGACUGAGAAUG